RNAcentral lists this long non-coding RNA (394 nucleotides) under Mytilus galloprovincialis (Mediterranean mussel). Lineage: Eukaryota; Metazoa; Mollusca; Bivalvia; Mytilida; Mytilidae. The record is from RNAcentral.
UCUUUUGAUAGUAAGGUGUUCGUCAAUUUCUAGGUAAAUAUCAAAUUUCUGUUAUUGGGUGUAAAAGAGUAUAUAUAAAUGAUUUGUUUCGAAGUUUUGUAACAUUAACGUCGAACUUGGUUGAAUUUAAAGCUCGGUGUAUAGCUUUGCUUUACAGAAUUAAAAAUUACUGCAAACGGAGAAAAAGGAGGGGAAGGGUUAAAGUUAUGAAAACAAAACGUCUAUUAGAAACAGGUAAAUCACCUCAUCCUACAUAUACAGAUGACUAAAUGAGCAACAAUUGGCUAUAAUGUUUACAAAAAUUCCAAAACAUAAUUAGGAAGAGGGUUAUGUACAUCACCGAUGUAUUGAACAAAAACCUACAAACAAAAAAGGCGUGAGCAACCAAAGGGAC